UCGAUUGCAGAAUCGUAUCUGGUAAUAUUCACUGCAGAUCAGCAUAUAUCUGGACACUCGCUGCAGAAAAGCUUCAUUCAGUGCAGAAUUGGUCGUCCACAGAACUGAUCUGGAACGUCUGUUCAUUCAUAGAAAGUCAUUGCAGAAUCAGUUUUGAUUACUGAAAGAGAUGAUGAGGGCUGUUAUCGAGAAGUGGCGUACCGGUGUGAUUUGAGAGUUGUUGGGAGGCUGUUUCGGGACAGCAUCGGUGAUGAAACAGUACAGUGGGAUGUUGUAUAGGGCUGCCAAAACGGGUUAAUAUGAAAACAACCAAGAGCAAGUUUGAAGCAAGUGACUAAGCAAGAGCAAGAAACAAGUCGGAUCUUUAUGAGAUUUAUUUGCGUAAGAUACAAUCAAGAAAGGUUGACUCCUAAACUCAGAAAAAAGUCAAAGCUUCGUAUACCUGAGUCAUUAAUUGCAGGUGUGUUGUUGCUGGAAUGAGCUUCACCAUAUGUGCUUACCUGAGUCAUACCUAAGUCAAAACCCGACUCAUGGUCUAGGUAAAAAAGUUGACCUUUCUUAUUUACAAAUGAAAUAACUUUCGUCUAGAGGUGGAA
Helianthus annuus (common sunflower) is the source of this 596-nucleotide long non-coding RNA. RefSeq lists it as uncharacterized. Lineage: Eukaryota; Viridiplantae; Streptophyta; Magnoliopsida; Asterales; Asteraceae. The transcript is spliced from 3 exons. The record is from RefSeq and is a predicted model, not a curated record.